RNAcentral lists this ribosomal RNA (672 nucleotides) under uncultured archaeon. RNAcentral's name for it is "bacterial SSU rRNA". It matches the Rfam family "Archaeal small subunit ribosomal RNA", at positions 99 to 754 of the family's 1478-position model. The record is from RNAcentral.
CGUGGCUAACCUGCCCUUGGGACAGAGACACCCCCGGGAAACUGGGGCUAAUCCCUGAUAGGUGAAGAACUCUGGAAUGAGUCUUCACCCAAAAGACGCCUAGGCCACGCUUCUAGGCGCCGCCCAAGGAUGGGGCCGCGACCGAUCAGGUUGUUGGUGAGGUAACGGCCUACCAAGCCUUUUACCGGUACGGGCCGUGAGAGCGGGAGCCCGGAGAUGGGCACUGAGACAAGGGCCCAGGUCCUACGGGGCGCAGCAGUCGCGCAAACUUUGCAAUACACGAAAGUGUGACAGGGCUAUCCCGAGUGCCGUCCGCUGAGGGUGGCUUUUACCCAGUCUAGAAAGCUGGGAGAAUAAGGAGAGGGCAAGUCUGGUGUCAGCCGCCGCGGUAAUACCAGCUCUCCGAGUGGUGUGGAUGUUUAUUGGGCCUAAAGCAUCCGUAGCUUGCUGAUCAAGUCCCCUGUUAAACCCAACGAAUCAAUCGUUGGAUUGCGGGGGAUACUGCUCGGCUAGGGGACGGGAGAGGCCGACGGUAUUUUCGGGGUAGGGGUGAAAUCCUAUAAUCCCGAGAGGACCACCAGUGGCGAAGGCUGUCGGCUAGAACGCGCCCAACGGUGAGGGAUGAAAGCUGGGGGAGCGAGCCGGAUUAGAUACCCGGGUAGUCCCAGCUGU